Molecule: long non-coding RNA, 9400 nt
Filed under: Xyrichtys novacula (pearly razorfish)
Lineage: Eukaryota; Metazoa; Chordata; Actinopteri; Labriformes; Labridae
Source: RNAcentral
AAAUUCUGAUUUUAGGAUGAAAAUAAAUGCUAAAGUAUUGUCUCAUCAAAAUGCCAUAGUAUAGAAUGUUAAAAAUGUUGUAUUUAGGCGCAACAAAACCCCCAGCAUAUUUCAGUCCGAAAAAAAAAUGACAUAGUAAAGUAUGACCAAAAUUUCAGAUUUAAGGGUGAAAAAAAAAUUCUGAUUUUCGGAUAAAGAUGAAUGCUAUAGUAUUGUCUCAUCAAAAUGCCAUAGUAUAGAAUGUUAAAAAUGUCAUAUUUAGGUGCAAUAAAACCCAACAUAUUUUAGUCCGAAAAAAAAAACGACAUACUAUACUAUGUCGUAAAUUUCAGAUUUUAGGGUGAAAAAAAAAAAUUUCUGAUUUUAGGAUGAAAAUAAAUGCUUAAGGUUGGAGCUAGGGUUAGGGUUAGGUGUGGGGUUGGAGCUAGGGUUAGGGUUAGGGUUAGGGUUGGAGUUAGGGUUAGUGUUGGAGCUAGGGUUAGGGUUGGGCUUGGAGCUAGGAUUUUUCUGAGUGCAAUGAACCAACUCCCGAGUCUCUAGGACGUUCCUAAAAAAAUUUGAUUUUUUCCCAUAGGAAUGCAUGGGUUAGGGUUAGGGUUAGGGUUGGAGCUAGGGUUAGGGUUAGGGUUAGGGUUGGAGUUAGGGUUAGUGUUGGAGCUAGGGUUAGGGUUGGGCUUGGAGCUAGGAUUUUUCUGAGUGCACUGAACCAACUCCCGAGUCUCUAGGACGUUCCUAAAAAAAUUUGAUUUCUUCCCAUAGGAAUGCAUGGGUUAGGGUUAGGGUUAGGGUUGGAGCUAGGGUUAGGGUUAGGGUUGGAGUUAGGGUUAGUGUUGGAGCUAGGGUUAGGGUUGGGCUUGGAGCUAGGAUUUUUCUGAGUGCACUGAACCAACUCCCGAGUCUCUAGGACGUUCCUAAAAAAAUUUGAUUUUUUCCCAUGGGAAUGCAUGGGUUAGGGUUAGGGUUAGGGUUGGAGCUAGGGUUAGGGUUAGGGUUAGGGUUGGAGUUAGGGUUAGUGUUGGAGCUAGGGUUAGGGUUGGGCUUGGAGCUAGGAUUUUUCUGAGUGCACUGAACCAACUCCCGAGUCUGUAGGAUGUUCCUAAAAAAAUUUGAUUUUUUCCCAUAGGAAUGCAUGGGUUAGGGUUAGGGUUAGGGUUGGAGCUAGGGUUAGGGUUAGGGUUAGGGUUGGAGUUAGGGUUAGUGUUGGAGCUAGGGUUAGGGUUGGGCUUGGAGCUAGGAUUUUUCUGAGUGCACUGAACCAACUCCAGAGUCUCUAGGACGUUCCUAAAAAAAUUUGAUUUUUUCCCAUAGGAAUGCAUGGGUUAGGGUUAGGGUUAGGGUUGGAGCUAGGGUUAGGGUUAGGGUUAGGGUUGGAGUUAGGGUUAGUGUUUUAGCUAGGGUUAGGGUUGGGCUUGGAGCUAGGAUUUUUCUGAGUGCAAUGAACCAACUCCCGAGUCUCUAGGACGUUCCUAAAAAAAUUUGAUUUUUUCCCAUGGGAAUGCAUGGGUUAGGGUUAGGGUUAGGGUUGGAGCUAGGGUUAGGGUUAGGGUUAGGGUUGGAGUUAGGGUUAGUGUUGGAGCUAGGGUUAGGGUUGGGCUUGGAGCUAGGAUUUUUCUGAGUGCACUGAACCAACUCCCGAGUCUCUAGGACGUUCCUAAAAAAAUUUGAUUUCUUCCCAUGCGAAUGCAUGGGUUAGGGUUAGGGUUAGGGUUGGAGCUAGGGUUAGGGUUAGGGUUGGAGUUAGGGUUAGUGUUGGAGCUAGGGUUAGGGUUGGGCUUGGAGCUAGGAUUUUUCUGAGUGCACUGAACCAACUCCCGAGUCUGUAGGAUGUUCCUAAAAAAAUUUGAUUUUUUCCCAUAGGAAUGCAUGGGUUAGGGUUAGGGUUAGGGUUGGAGCUAGGGUUAGGGUUAGGGUUAGGGUUGGAGUUAGGGUUAGUGUUGGAGCUAGGGUUAGGGUUGGGCUUGGAGCUAGGAUUUUUCUGAGUGCACUGAACCAACUCCCGAGUCUCUAGGACGUUCCUAAAAAAUUUGAUUUCUUCCCAUAGGAAUGCAUGGGUUAGGGUUAGGGUUAGGGUUGGAGCUAGGGUUAGGGUUAGGGUUAGGGUUGGAGUUAGGGUUGGGCUUGGAGCUAGGAUUUUUCUGAGUGCACUGAACCAACUCCCGAGUCUCUAGGACGUUCCUAAAAAAAUUUGAUUUUUUCCCAUAGGAAUGCAUGGGUUAGGGUUAGGGUUAGGGUUGGAGCUAGGGUUAGGGUUAGGGUUAGGGUUGGAGUUAGGGUUAGUGUUGGAGCUAGGGUUAGGGUUGGGCUUGGAGCUAGGAUUUUUCUGAGUGCACUGAACCAACUCCCGAGUCUCUAGGACGUUCCUAAAAAAAUUUGAUUUCUUCCCAUAGGAAUGCAUGGGUUAGGGUUAGGGUUAGGGUUGGAGCUAGGGUUAGGGUUAGGGUUAGGGUUGGAGUUAGGGUUAGUGUUGGAGCUAGGGUUAGGGUUGGGCUUGGAGCUAGGAUUUUUCUGAGUGCACUGAACCAACUCCCGAGUCUCUAGGACGUUCCUAAAAAAAUUUGAUUUUUUCCCAUAGGAAUGCAUGGGUUAGGGUUAGGGUUGGAGCUAGGGUUAGGGUUAGGGUUAGGGUUGGAGUUAGGGUUAGUGUUGGAGCUAGGGUUAGGGUUGGGCUUGGAGCUAGGAUUUUUCUGAGUGCACUGAACCAACUCCCGAGUCUCUAGGACGUUCCUAAAAAAAUUUGAUUUUUUCCCAUAGGAAUGCAUGGGUUAGGGUUAGGGUUAGGGUUGGAGCUAGGGUUAGGGUUAGGGUUAGGGUUGGAGUUAGGGUUUGUGUUGGAGCUAGGGUUAGGGUUGGGCUUGGAGCUAGGAUUUUUCUGAGUGCACUGAACCAACUCCCGAGUCUCUAGGACGUUCCUAAAAAAAUUUGAUUUCUUCCCAUAGGAAUGCAUGGGUUAGGGUUAGGGUUAGGGUUGGAGCUAGGGUUAGGGUUAGGGUUAGGGUUGGAGUUAGGGUUAGUGUUGGAGCUAGGGUUAGGGUUGGGCUUGGAGCUAGGAUUUUUCUGAGUGCACUGAACCAACUCCCGAGUCUCUAGGUCGUUCCUAAAAAAAUUUGAUUUCUUCCCAUAGGAAUGCAUGGGUUAGGGUUAGGGUUAGGGUUGGAGCUAGGGUUAGGGUUAGGGUUAGGGUUGGAGUUAGGGUUAGUGUUGGAGCUAGGGUUAGGGUUGGGCUUGGAGCUAGGAUUUUUCUGAGUGCACUGAACCAACUCCCGAGUCUGUAGGAUGUUCCUAAAAAAAUUUGAUUUUUUCCCAUAGGAAUGCAUGGGUUAGGGUUAGGGUUAGGGUUGGAGCUAGGGUUAGGGUUAGGGUUAGGGUUGGAGUUAGGGUUAGUGUUGGAGCUAGGGUUAGGGUUGGGCUUGGAGCUAGGAUUUUUCUGAGUGCACUGAACCAACUCCCGAGUCUCUAGGACGUUCCUAAAAAAAUUUGAUUUUUUCCCAUGGGAAUGCAUGGGUUAGGGUUAGGGUUAGGGUUGGAGCUAGGGUUAGGGUUAGGGUUAGGGUUGGAGUUAGGGUUAGUGUUUUAGCUAGGGUUAGGGUUGGGCUUGGAGCUAGGAUUUUUCUGAGUGCAAUGAACCAACUCCCGAGUCUCUAGGACGUUCCUAAAAAAAUUUGAUUUUUUCCCAUGGGAAUGCAUGGGUUAGGGUUAGGGUUAGGGUUGGAGCUAGGGUUAGGGUUAGGGUUAGGGUUGGAGUUAGGGUUAGUGUUGGAGCUAGGGUUAGGGUUGGGCUUGGAGCUAGGAUUUUUCUGAGUGCACUGAACCAACUCCCGAGUCUCUAGGACGUUCCUAAAAAAAUUUGAUUUCUUCCCAUAGGAAUGCAUGGGUUAGGGUUAGGGUUAGGGUUGGAGCUAGGGUUAGGGUUAGGGUUAGGGUUGGAGUUAGGGUUAGUGUUGGAGCUAGGGUUAGGGUUGGGCUUGGAGCUAGGAUUUUUCUGAGUGCACUGAACCAACUCCCGAGUCUCUAGGACGUUCCUAAAAAAAUUUGAUUUUUUCCCAUGGGAAUGCAUGGGUUAGGGUUAGGGUUAGGGUUGGAGCUAGGGUUAGGGUUAGGUGUGGGUAAGAGAUACAGUGAUAGCCCCCGCUUUCGUCUGUUGACUUGGCGGUUUGGGGUAGGCUAAUCAAGGGCUUGCACUGGCCGUCGCAUGUCGACCUGUCACAUGUUCCCAGUCGAGUCUCCGAGCCCAAUCUGUGAGUAAAAAACUAUGUGUGGGUAGGAAGUUUAAUUACUCAGCUCAGUUGGUAUGCUAUGCUGUCUAUCUUUUAGACUAUGUGUUUGUAGAGCCAUUAUUUUUUGAGGUUCAGUUAGGAGUUAGAGUUGGUAUGGUUACCAGUUAAAACAAUAAUAAUAAUAAUAAUAAUAAUAAUAAUAAUAAUAAUAAUAAUAAUGGUAAUAACAAUAAUUAUACUAAUAAUAAUAAUAAUAAAAGUAAUAAUUGUGUUUAUUGAGAAGGACUAGGUGAUAUUAGUAGGGAGGGAAAAGGGUGAAAUUUACCUAAGAGAGUAGGGUUAGGAUGCGUUAGUACAAAGUCUCAGAGGAUGGGGAGAGGGAGAAACAGGUGGUCUGGAUUAAAACCAUUCUGUUUCUACAGGGAUUCGAGUGAUAGAGAGAGAAUAGAACUUGCCACAGUGACUAGCCAGAGAAACUCUCCUCACCUGUUGCUUUUCAACCUCUGAUACGAAAAAGGAGGGUGGGGUGAUUAAGUUAAGAUAGAGGUUAGUAAGGUUAGGGUUGGGGUUAGAUUUAGGGUUUAGGGGUUAGGGGUUAGGGUUAGGGUUAGGGUUAGGGUAAGGGUUAGGGUUAGGGUUAGGGUUAGGGUUAGAUUUAGGGUCUAGAGGUUAGGGUUAGGGUUAGGGUCAGGGUAAGGGUUAGAUUUAGGGUUUUAGGGGUUAGGGUUAGGGUUAGGGUUAGGGUUAGGGGUUAGGGUUAGGGUUAGGGUUAGGGUUAGGGUUAGAUUUAGGGUUAGGGUUAGGGUUAGGGUUAGGGGGUUAGGGUUAGGUGUGGGUAAGAGAUACAGUGAUAGCCCCCGCUUUCGUCUGUUGACUUGGCGGUUUGGGGUAGGCUAAUCAAGGGCUUGCACUGGCCGUCGCAUGUCGACCUGUCACAUGUUCCCAGUCGAGUCUCCGAGCCCAAUCUGUGAGUAAAAAACUAUGUGUGGGUAGGAAGUUUAAUUACUCAGCUCAGUUGGUAUGCUAUGCUGUCUAUCUUUUAGACUAUGUGUUUGUAGAGCCAUUAUUUUUUGAGGUUCAGUUAGGAGUUAGAGUUGGUAUGGUUACCAGUUAAAACAAUAAUAAUAAUAAUAAUAAUAAUAAUAAUAAUAAUAAUGGUAAUAACAAUAAUUAUACUAAUAAUAAUAAUAAUAAUAAAAGUAAUAAUUGUGUUUAUUGAGAAGGACUAGGUGAUAUUAGUAGGGAGGGAAAAGGGUGAAAUUUACCUAAGAGAGUAGGGUUAGGAUGCGUUAGUACAAAGUCUCAGAGGAUGGGGAGAGGGAGAAACAGGUGGUCUGGAUUAAAACCAUUCUGUUUCUACAGGGAUUCGAGUGAUAGAGAAAGAAUAGAACUUGCCACAGUGACUAGCCAGAGAAACUCUCCUCACCUGUUGCUUUUCAACCUCUGAUACGAAAAAGGAGGGUGGGGUGAUUAAGUUAAGAUAGAGGUUAGUAAGGUUAGGGUUGGGGUUAGAUUUUAGGGUUUAGGGGUUAGGGGUUAGGGUUAGGGUUAGGGUUAGGGUUAGGGUAAGGGUUAGGGUUAGGGUUAGGGUUAGAUUUAGGGUCUAGAGGUUAGGGUUAGGGUUAGGGUCAGGGUAAGGGUUAGAUUUAGGGUUUUAGGGGUUAGGGUUAGGGUUAGGGUUAGGGUUAGGGUUAGGGUUAGGGUUAGGGUUAGGGUUAGGGUUAGGGUUAGCGUUAGGGCUAGGGUUAGGGUUAGGGUUAGGGGUUAGGGUUAGGUGUGGGUAAGAUACAGUGAUAGCCCCCGCUUUCGUCUGUUGACUUGGCGGUUUGGGGUAGGCUAAUCAAGGGCUUGCACUGGCCGUCGCAUGUCGACCUGUCACAUGUUCCCAGUCGAGUCUCCGAGCCCAAUCUGUGAGUAAAAAACUAUGUGUGGGUAGGAAGUUUAAUUACUCAGCUCAGUUGGUAUGCUAUGCUGUCUAUCUUUUAGACUAUGUGUUUGUAGAGCCAUUAUUUUUUGAGGUUCAGUUAGGAGUUAGAGUUGGUAUGGUUACCAGUUAAAACAAUAAUAAUAAUAAUAAUAAUAAUAAUAAUAAUAAUAAUGGUAAUAACAAUAAUUAUACUAAUAAUAAUAAUAAUAAUAAAAGUAAUAAUUUUAUUUAUUGAGAAGGACUAGGUGAUAUUAGUAGGGAGGGAAAAGGGUGAAAUUUACCUAAGAGAGUAGGGUUAGGAUGCGUUAGUACAAAGUCUCAGAGGAUGGGGAGAGGGAGAAACAGGUGGUCUGGAUUAAAACCAUUCUGUUUCUACAGGGAUUCGAGUGAUAGAGAAAGAAUAGAACUUGCCACAGUGACUAGCCAGAGAAACUCUCCUCACCUGUUGCUUUUCAUCCUCUGAUACGAAAAAGGAGGGUGGGGUGAUUAAGUUAAGAUAGAGGUUAGUAAGGUUAGGGUUGGGGUUAGAUUUAGGGUUUAGGGGUUAGGGGUUAGGGUUAGGGUUAGGGUUAGGGUAAGGGUUAGGGUUAGGGUUAGGGUUAGGGUUAGAUUUAGGGUCUAGAGGUUAGGGUUAGGGUUAGGGUCAGGGUAAGGGUUAGAUUUAGGGUUUUAGGGGUUAGGGUUAGGGUUAGGGUUAGGGUUAGGGUUAGAUUUAGGAUCUAGAGGUUAGGGUUAGGGUAAGGGUUAGGGUUAGGGUUAGGGUUAGAUUUAGGGUUUAGGGUUAGAUUUAGGGUUAAGAGGGUUAGGGUUGGAUUUAGGUUCUAGAGGUUAGGGUUAGGGUGAGGGUGAUGUUUAUGGUUAGUGCCUGAAGAGAGCUAACCAUGGCUAUUUAAAAGAAUUAAAAUUCAAAGAAUACGACACUUCAGAUUGUCUAGACUCUGGACUCUGCUAAAGGUAGCAAAGCUAUGGUUGAAAGUACUGAAAAUGCAGUAUAAAAUAUAUAAGGUUAGUUACUAAUUCUUAUUGAUAAAUUUUAGUUCAGAGUCAAAAGUGGAUGGUCCCGUGUAGAACCUUCUGUUCCACUCAGGCCUGUGUAGGCCAAAGACCCUGCUAAGGUCCCUCAAGGCUGUGACCUAAAAUUAUUUUUGAUUAAAUUGGAAAUCUAAAUUAUUACUUUUUAAUAAAUUUUAAUUCAGAGUCAAAAGUGGAUGGUCCCGUGUAGAACCUUCUGUUCCACUCAGGCCUGUCUAGGCCAAAGACCCUGCUAAGCUUCCCUUAAGGCUGUGACCUAAAAUAAUUUUUGAAUUGGAAAUAUUUAUAAAUUAUUCUUUUAAAUAAUUUUUUAAUUCAGAGUCAAAAGUGGAUGGUCCCGUUUAGAACCUUCUUCCACUCAGACCUGUCUAGGUCAAAGACUCUGCUAAGAUUCCUCAAGGUUGUGGACUAAGAUAAUUUUGAGUUGGAAGUAUUUAUAAAUUAUUCCUUUUAAUAAAUUUUUAAUUAAUUUUUUAAUUAAUUUUUUAAUUCAGAGUCAAAAGUGGAUGGUCCCGUAUAGAACCUUCUGUUCCACUCAGGCCUGUGUAGGCUAGAGACCCUGCUAAGCUUCCUCAAGGCUGUGACCUACAAUAAUUUUAGAUUGAAUUGGGUGUAAUAAUAAAUUAUUCCUUUUUAAUAUAUUUUUUAUUCAGAGUCAAAAGUGGAUGGUCCUGUGUAGAACCUUCUGUUCCACUCAGGCCUGUGUAGGCCAGAGACCCUGCUAAGCUUCCUCAAGGCUGUGACCUAAAAUAAUUUUUAGAUUGAAUUGGGUAUAUUAAUCAAUUAUUCCUUUUUAAUAAAUUUUUAAUUCAGAGUCAAAAGUGGAUGGUCCCGUGUAGAACCUUCUGUUCCACUCAGGCCUGUGUAGGCCAAAGACCCUGCUAAGCUCCCUCAAGACUGUGACCUAAAAUAAUUUUAGAUUGAAUUGGGUAUAUUUAAAAAAUUAUUCCUUUUUAAUAUAUAUUUUUUUAUUUAUUUCAGAGUCAAAAGUGGAUGGUCCCGUGUAGAACCUUCUGUUCCACUCAGACCUGUCUAGGUCAAAGACUCUGCUAAGCUCCCUCAAGGCUGUGACCUAAAAUAAUUUUUGAAUUGGAAAUAUUUAUAAAUUAUUCUUUUAAAUAAAUUUUUAAUUUUUUUAAUUCAGAGUCAAAAGUGGAUGGUCCCGUGUAGAACCUUCUGUUCCACUCAGGCCUGUCUAGGCCAAAGACCCUGCUAAGCUUCCCUUAAGGCUGUGACCUAAAUUAAUUUUUUGAAUUAGAAAUAUUUAUAAAUUAUUAUUUUGAAUAAUUUUUAAUUUAGAGUCAAAAGUGGAUGGUCCCGUGUAGAACCUUCUGUUCCACUCUGACCUGUCUAGGUCAAAGACUCUGCUAAGCUCCCUCAAGGCUGUGAACUAAAAUAAUUUUUAAUUCGAAGUAUUCCUAAAUUAUUCCUUUUAAUAAAUCUUUAAUUCAGAGUCAAAAGUGGAUGGUCCCGUGUAGAACCUUCUGUUCCACUCAGGCCCGUCUAGGCCCAAGACCCUGCUAAGCUUCCUCAAGGCUGUGAUCUACAAUAAUUUUAGAUUGAAUGGGGUAUGUUUAAAAAUUAUUAUUUUUUUCACAAUUUUUUAAUUUAGAGUCAAAAGUGGAUGGUCCUGUGUAGAACCUUCUGUUCCACUCAGGCCUGUUUAGGCCAAAGACCCUGAUAAGGUCCCUCAAGGCUGUGACCUAAAAUUAUUUUGGAUUGAACUGGGUAUAUUUAUAAAUUAUUAUAUUUUAAUAAAUUUUUAAUUCAGAGUCACAAGUGGAUGGUCCCAUGUAGAACCUUCUGUUCCACUCAGGCCUGUGUAGGCCCAAGACCCCGCUAAUCUCCCUAACGCUGUGACCUAAAAUCAACUUAAGUUAAAUCAGAGGUGUUAUUUAUAAAUUAUUUGAAAAUAUUACUGCAGAGUUAAGUGUUAAUGUUAUCAAUAAUUUUAUUAAUUUAAUUUUAUUAAUUUUUGAUUAAUUAAUAGAAUUAUUGGUCCAGAGUAUCGACUUUUCAGAAGGUUGUAUUGUUGUAGAUGGAUAAGUUUGAAAUUAAUUGGAGAUUUUUUUUAUGAAUUAUCUAAGAGCUAGGUAUAACUGUAAAUUAUUAUUUCAGGGUUAAGCAAUUAGAUAGGAAUUGUAGUUUAGGUAUCGGACUAUUCUACAGGUACAUUACAUGAUUAAAGCAAUUUUGAGUUAGAUAAGUAAGGUUAGCUCCCCAAUUU